This 268-nucleotide ribosomal RNA is filed under the name uncultured microorganism. RNAcentral describes it as "partial 16S ribosomal RNA". It matches the Rfam family "Bacterial small subunit ribosomal RNA", at positions 9 to 261 of the family's 1533-position model. The record is from RNAcentral.
GAGUUUGAUCGUGGCUCAGGAUGAACGCUGGCGGCGUGCCUAACACAUGCAGGUCGAACGGAGUUUAUGAGGAAGAAGCUUCGGCGGAAUUCUUAUAAACUUAGUGGCGGACGGGUGAGUAACACGUGGAGAACCUGCCUCUUACCGGGGGACAGCAGUUGGAAACGACUGAUAAUACCGCAUAAGCGCACGAGACCGCAUGGUCCUGUGUGAAAAGAUUAUCGGUAAGAGAUGGCUCCGCGUCUGAUUAGCCAGUUGGCGGGGUAAC